Molecule: ribosomal RNA, 1530 nt
Filed under: Shigella sonnei
Lineage: Bacteria; Pseudomonadati; Pseudomonadota; Gammaproteobacteria; Enterobacterales; Enterobacteriaceae
Description: partial 23S ribosomal RNA
Rfam family: Bacterial large subunit ribosomal RNA
Source: RNAcentral
UCGAUGGGAAACAGGUUAAUAUUCCUGUACUUGGUGUUACUGCGAAGGGGGGACGGAGAAGGCUAUGUUGGCCGGGCGACGGUUGUCCCGGUUUAAGCGUGUAGGCUGGUUUUCCAGGCAAAUCCGGAAAAUCAAGGCUGAGGCGUGAUGACGAGGCACUACGGUGCUGAAGCAACAAAUGCCCUGCUUCCAGGAAAAGCCUCUAAGCAUCAGGUAACAUCAAAUCGUACCCCAAACCGACACAGGUGGUCAGGUAGAGAAUACCAAGGCGCUUGAGAGAACUCGGGUGAAGGAACUAGGCAAAAUGGUGCCGUAACUUCGGGAGAAGGCACGCUGAUAUGUAGGUGAAGUCCCUUGCGGAUGGAGCUGAAAUCAGUCGAAGAUACCAGCUGGCUGCAACUGUUUAUUAAAAACACAGCACUGUGCAAACACGAAAGUGGACGUAUACGGUGUGACGCCUGCCCGGUGCCGGAAGGUUAAUUGAUGGGGUCAGCGCAAGCGAAGCUCUUGAUCGAAGCCCCGGUAAACGGCGGCCGUAACUAUAACGGUCCUAAGGUAGCGAAAUUCCUUGUCGGGUAAGUUCCGACCUGCACGAAUGGCGUAAUGAUGGCCAGGCUGUCUCCACCCGAGACUCAGUGAAAUUGAACUCGCUGUGAAGAUGCAGUGUACCCGCGGCAAGACGGAAAGACCCCGUGAACCUUUACUAUAGCUUGACACUGAACAUUGAGCCUUGAUGUGUAGGAUAGGUGGGAGGCUUUGAAGUGUGGACGCCAGUCUGCAUGGAGCCGGCCUUGAAAUACCACCCUUUAAUGUUUGAUGUUCUAACGUGGACCCGUGAUCCGGGUUGCGGACAGUGUCUGGUGGGUAGUUUGACUGGGGCGGUCUCCUCCUAAAGAGUAACGGAGGAGCACGAAGGUUGGCUAAUCCUGGUCGGACAUCAGGAGGUUAGUGCAAUGGCAUAAGCCAGCUUGACUGCGAGCGUGACGGCGCGAGCAGGUGCGAAAGCAGGUCAUAGUGAUCCGGUGGUUCUGAAUGGAAGGGCCAUCGCUCAACGGAUAAAAGGUACUCCGGGGAUAACAGGCUGAUACCGCCCAAGAGUUCAUAUCGACGGCGGUGUUUGGCACCUCGAUGUCGGCUCAUCACAUCCUGGGGCUGAAGUAGGUCCCAAGGGUAUGGCUGUUCGCCAUUUAAAGUGGUACGCGAGCUGGGUUUAGAACGUCGUGAGACAGUUCGGUCCCUAUCUGCCGUGGGCGCUGGAGAACUGAGGGGGGCUGCUCCUAGUACGAGAGGACCGGAGUGGACGCAUCACUGGUGUUCGGGUUGUCAUGCCAAUGGCACUGCCCGGUAGCUAAAUGCGGAAGAGAUAAGUGCUGAAAGCAUCUAAGCACGAAACUUGCCCCGAGAUGAGUUCUCCCUGACCCUUUAAGGGUCCUGAAGGAACGUUGAAGACGACGACGUUGAUAGGCCGGGUGUGUAAGCGCAGCGAUGCGUUGAGCUAACCGGUACUAAUGAACCGUGAGGCUUAACCUU